UAUGAAAAUUUGUUAAUGUGUAUAUUUAAGAACGGUAAUAAGUUAAUAAAAAUAUUUAUAUAUAAAAAGAAUUAGUAAUAUGAAUUGAAUUUUUUAAGAUAAACUAAAGUUUAGAAGUAUUGUGAAAGAAAAUUGAAAUAAAUGAAAAUUUAAUAUAUUUAUAGUAAAAAUUAAAAUUUGUACCUUGUGUAUUAGGGAAAAUCAAAAUUAUUAAAAUAUUUUUGUAAUCCCGAAAAGAAAAUAGCUAAAAUUUUUAUUAAGUUUUUGUGGCAAAAAAUUUUAAAAAUUCUUUUUAGUAGUGAAAUGUUAAUCGAGUUUUUUGAUAUCUGGUUUUUUAAGAAAUAAAUUUAAUUUAGCUUUAUUAUAAAUUUAAAUAAUAAAAGUAAAAAUAGGAGGGUAGAGCUUCUUAUUUAAUGUAGAAAGAAUAUGAUAAAAAAUAUGUUAAUAAUUUUACUAGGCUUAGAAGUAGUUAAGUAAAUAAAGUGUUUUAACUAAUACUGUGUUUGUAUUGUUAUUUAUAUAUUAUCUGUAGUAUUAUUAGAAAAAAUUUUUAAGUUAGUUAUUAAUAGAUAAAAUGAUUUUAUUAGUAUAGUGUUUUAUAAGUAGUUAUAAUAAAAUUAAUAAAAAUUUAUAAUGAAAGUUUGGUUUAAGAAUUUAAGGAACUCGGCAAAAAAGUUUCUGCCUGUUUAUUAAAAACAUGUCUAUAUGGUGAUUUAUAAAGUCUAGCCUGCCCACUGAAAAUAAUUAAAUGGCCGCGGUAUUCUAACCGUGCGAAGGUAGCAUAACCAUUAGUCUUUUAACUGAAGACCUGUAUGAAUGGUUGGACAAGAAAUAUUCUGUCUCUAAUGCAAAAUUUGAAAUUAACUUUUAAGUGAAAAGGCUUAAAUAAAUUAGAGUGAUGAAAAGACCCUAUAAAGUUUAAUAUCAAAAGUUAAAUCUAUAGAAUUAUUAAGUAAAAAGGUGUUUAGUUCUUAAAAUUUUUCGUAGGGGCGACGGAGAGAUAAUAUGUAACUGGCUAUUAAUACAAUCAAAUAUACUUGUUUAUAAUUAAUCCAAUUUUUUAAUUAUAAGAGUAAGUAACUUCAGGGAUAACAGUGUUAUUUAUUUUGAGAGUUCAUAUCGACAAAAGAGUUUGCGACCUCGAUGUUGAAUUAAAAGUUCUUUAUAAUGUAGUAGUUAUAAAAGAAAGUCUGUUCGACUUUUAAAUUUUUACAUGAUUUGAGUUUAAACCGGCGUGAGCCAGGUUGGUUUCUAUCUUUUAAUAGUAAAUUAAUUACUUUAGUACGAAAGGAUUUGGUAAUUAAAAUAAUUUUUGUUUGUGAGAAUAAUUUU
RNAcentral lists this ribosomal RNA (1332 nucleotides) under Enoplometopus occidentalis (Hawaiian reef lobster). RNAcentral describes it as "16S ribosomal RNA". The stretch from base 1088 to 1246 matches the Rfam family "Bacterial large subunit ribosomal RNA", at positions 2473 to 2632 of the family's 2925-position model. Lineage: Eukaryota; Metazoa; Arthropoda; Malacostraca; Decapoda; Enoplometopidae. The record is from RNAcentral.